This 97-nucleotide ribosomal RNA is filed under the name uncultured bacterium. RNAcentral's name for it is "partial 16S ribosomal RNA". It matches the Rfam family "Bacterial small subunit ribosomal RNA", at positions 1388 to 1482 of the family's 1533-position model. The record is from RNAcentral.
CACCGCCCAUCACACCAUGGGAGUCAGUUGCUCCAGAAACGGCCGAGCUAACCCGCAAGGGAGGCAGGUCUUUAAGGAGUGACUGGUGACUGGGGUG